UAAUACGUAGGCAGCAAGCGUUGUUCGGAGUUACUGGGCGUAAAGGGUGUGUAGGCGGCCUACUAAGUUCGGUGUGAAAUCUCCCGGCUCAACCGGGAGGGUGCGCCGGAAACUGGCAGGCUAGAGUGUGGGAGGGGAAAGUGGAAUUCCUGGUGUAGCGGUGAAAUGCGUAGAUAUCAGGAGGAACACCGGUGGUGUAGACGGCUUUCUGGACCAUAACUGACGCUGAGACACGAAAGCGUGGGUAGCAAACAGGAUUAGAUACCCUGGUAGUCCACGCCCUAAACGAUGCACAUUUGGUGUGGGUCAUUCAGUUGAUCUGUGCCGGAGCUAACGCGUUAAAUGUGCCGCCUGGGGAGUACAGUCGCAAGGCUG
RNAcentral lists this ribosomal RNA (375 nucleotides) under uncultured bacterium. RNAcentral's name for it is "bacterial SSU rRNA". It matches the Rfam family "Bacterial small subunit ribosomal RNA", at positions 521 to 896 of the family's 1533-position model. The record is from RNAcentral.